Molecule: ribosomal RNA, 484 nt
Filed under: uncultured bacterium
Lineage: Bacteria
Description: partial 16S ribosomal RNA
Rfam family: Bacterial small subunit ribosomal RNA
Source: RNAcentral
AUUGAACGCUGGCGGCAGGCCUAACACAUGCAAGUCGAGCGGAUGAAGGGAGCUUGCUCCUGGAUUCAGCGGCGGACGGGUGAGUAAUGCCUAGGAAUCUGCCUGGUAGUGGGGGAUAACGUCCGGAAACGGGCGCUAAUACCGCAUACGUCCUGAGGGAGAAAGUGGGGGAUCUUCGGACCUCACGCUAUCAGAUGAGCCUAGGUCGGAUUAGCUAGUUGGUGGGGUAAAGGCCUACCAAGGCGACGAUCCGUAACUGGUCUGAGAGGAUGAUCAGUCACACUGGAACUGAGACACGGUCCAGACUCCUACGGGAGGCAGCAGUGGGGAAUAUUGGACGAAGGGCGAAAGCCUGAUCCAGCAAUGCCGCGUGUAUGAAGAAGGUCUUCGGAUUGUAAAGCACUUUAAGUUGGGAGGAAGGGCAGUAAGUUAAUACCUGGCUGUUUUGACGUUACCAACAGAAUAAGCACCGGCUAACUUCGUG